This 365-nucleotide transfer-messenger RNA is filed under the name Providencia rustigianii. RNAcentral's name for it is "Standard tmRNA". It matches the Rfam family "transfer-messenger RNA". Rfam says of the family: Bacterial tmRNA, also known as 10Sa RNA or SsrA, is named for its dual tRNA and mRNA-like properties. Its role is to liberate the mRNA from a stalled ribosome. To accomplish this part of the tmRNA is used as a reading frame that ends in a translation stop signal. Lineage: Bacteria; Pseudomonadati; Pseudomonadota; Gammaproteobacteria; Enterobacterales; Morganellaceae. The record is from RNAcentral.
GGGGCUGAUUCUGGAUUCGACGGGAUUUGCGAAACCCAAGGUGCAUGCCGAGGGGCGGUUGGCCUCGUAAAAAGCCGCAAAAAAAAUAGUCGCAAACGACGAAAACUACGCACUAGCAGCUUAAUAACCUGCUUAGAGCCCUCUCUCCCUAGCCUCCGCUCUUAGGACGGGGAUCAAGAGAGGUCAAACCCAAAAGAGAUCGCGUGAAUACCUUGCCUGGGGUUGAAGCGUUAAACUUAAUCAGGAUAGUUUGUUGAUGGCGUGUCUGUCCGCAGUUGGCAAAUGAAUUUAAAGACUAGACUAAGCAUGUAGUACCGAGGAUGUAGAAAUUUCGGACGCGGGUUCAACUCCCGCCAGCUCCACCA